CCCGGGACUCUCGAACGACGGUUCCGGGCCAAGGCUUAAAUAUUUAAGAAAUGUAUAAAUCGCUGAAAAUCUACGAAAGAACUCUAAAAAACUUUGGAAAAAUGCUAAUGAAACACGAGAAGAAAAAGGCAUUCCUGGCUGAUUGAAAACAAGGCAGCAAUUUUCGACUUCCCCUUUACGUUCAGAAGCAUCCACAACAUACAAGUCUGUCCACACAGGCCUUGACUGCACAGCAAGCUUCGAAAAAUGUUUGUC
Molecule: long non-coding RNA, 255 nt
Organism: Eubalaena glacialis (North Atlantic right whale)
Lineage: Eukaryota; Metazoa; Chordata; Mammalia; Artiodactyla; Balaenidae
Exons: 3
Source: RefSeq, a predicted model, not a curated record